AGAGUUUGAUCCUGGCUCAGAUUGAACGCUGGCGGCAGGCCUAACACAUGCAAGUCGAACGGUAGCACAGAGAGCUUGCUCUUGGGUGACGAGUGGCGGACGGGUGAGUAAUGUCUGGGAAACUGCCCGAUGGAGGGGGAUAACUACUGGAAACGGUAGCUAAUACCGCAUAACGUCGCAAGACCAAAGAGGGGGACCUUCGGGCCUCUUGCCAUCGGAUGUGCCCAGAUGGGAUUAGUUAGUUGGUGAGGUAACGGCUCACCAAGACCAUGAUGCAUAGCCGACCUGAGAGGGUGAUCGGCCACACUGGGACUGAGACACGGCCCAGACUCCUACGGGAGGCAGCAGUAGGGAAUAUUGCACAAUGGGCGCAAGCCUGAUGCAGCCAUGCCGCGUGUAUGAAGAAGGCCUUCGGGUUGUAAAGUACUUUCAGCGAGGAGGAAGGCAUUAAGGUUAAUAACCUUAGUGAUUGACGUUACUCGCAGAGGAAGCACCGGCUAACUCCGUGCCAGCCGCCGCGGUAAUAC
This 527-nucleotide ribosomal RNA is filed under the name uncultured bacterium. Its description in RNAcentral is "bacterial SSU rRNA". It matches the Rfam family "Bacterial small subunit ribosomal RNA", at positions 8 to 526 of the family's 1533-position model. The record is from RNAcentral.